AUUGAACGCUGGCGGCAUGCCUUACACAUGCAAGUCGAACGGCAGCACGGGUGCUUGCACCUGGUGGCGAGUGGCGAACGGGUGAGUAAUACAUCGGAACGUACCUUAUCGUGGGGGAAAACGCAACGAAAGCUGUGCUAAUACCGCAUACGCCCUGAGGGGGAAAGCGGGGGAUCGAAAGACCUCGCGCGAUUAGAGUGGCCGAUGCCUGAUUAGCUUGUUGGUGGGGUAAAAGCCCACCAAGGCGACGAUCAGUAGCUUGGCUGAGAGGACGAUCAGACACACUGGGACUGAGACACGGCCCAGACUCCUACGGGAGGCAGCAGUGGGGAAUUUUGGCCAAUGGGGGAAACCCUGAUCCAGCAAUGCCGCGUGAGUGAAGAAGGCCUUCGGGUUGUAAAGCUCUUUUGUCAGGGAAGAAACACCGGCUCUAACACAGUCCGGGAAUGACGGUACCUGAAGAAUAAGCACCGGCUAACUAUGUGCCAGCAGCCGCCGUAA
This 501-nucleotide ribosomal RNA is filed under the name uncultured bacterium. RNAcentral describes it as "partial 16S ribosomal RNA". It matches the Rfam family "Bacterial small subunit ribosomal RNA", at positions 30 to 523 of the family's 1533-position model. The record is from RNAcentral.